UUUAAUACAGCCUUUUCUUAGAUAUGCUUCUUGCAAAGAUUUCUCACAGUCUAGAGUUGGUCUUUUUCUUCUCUUAACAGUAUUGUCACAGAGUGGAAAAUUUUAAUUCUAACAAAGUCCACCUUAACUUGAUUUUUCUUUGAAGACUCAUUCUUUCAAUGUUGAGGAUAAAAGGUCCUCAUGAAAACCGAGGUCAUAUCUUCUCCUUUGCUAUUUCUAGAAUUUUAAUAGCUUUGUAGUUUACAUUUACAUCCAUGAACAAUUUUGGUGAAUAUUUGUGUCAUGUGGAAAGUUUGUGUCUUUGUUAAUUGUUUUCCAUAAGGUCACCCGAUUGUGGCAUCACCAUUUGUUUAAAAGACUAACUUUUCUCCAUCAAAUUGCCUUUGAUCUUUGGACAAAGAUCAGUUGACCAUGUUUGUGAGUCUAUCUAUGGACUCUGUGUUCUUUUCCAUUUAUCUACUGGCGCAUUCUUACCCCGGCAUCAUGCUCGCUGUACCUUUUUAAAUCCUGGAACGGGGAAGUGCGGCUUACUCAACUUUGCUCUUCAGUGUUGUGCAGGAUAAAGGAUAUUCCAGCUGCAGAAACGGUUUGUAGAUAUCUACAAAGUAUCUGACUGGGACAUUGACUGGGGUUGUGUUGACUCUAUAGGUCAAGUCGGGAAGAGCUGACAUCUUAACUAUACUGAGUCUACUGAUCAUGGAAGUGAAAUAUGUCUCCUAUUAGGUAGGUUUUCUUUGCUAGCUUUCCACAGCAUUUGGUAGUUUUCUGAUACAGAUUUGUCUUUACUUGUUUAUAUUUUUACACAAGGAUUUUAUUUAUUUUCCUUUUGUACCCUUUUGUGAAGGGUAUUUUCUUUUCUUUUAAGUUCCCCUCAUUCAUUGGCGGCACAGAGAAUACGCACCGCGUGUUGCACUUUGACCUGUACUUCUUAUCAUAAUCCACUCUCAUCAAGGCCUGGGAUACUGUGCCCAUUUCCGUUUGAACUUCAGAAAUUAAGGGACUGAACAGUGUGACCACUGAGCUGCUGUGCCUCGGCUUAGGAGUCCCUGCUUAGCCGUAGCCAGCUUGCUCCCCGGCUGGGGCACAGGGCUCACACCGCCGCCUUGUUCUGACCGGGGCCCCAGAGACCAGGGUGUGGCGCUGGGUGUGCUGCCCAUGGAUGCUGGUUCCUGGCCACAGUGAGACAAGAGCUUCCUGUCCCCAGGAUCAAUGUGCCGCUCCCUUGGGAAGAGGAUGCUCCCUGCCCGCUGCCGGCCCAGCAGGGGCCUGGGCCUGGGUGCCUCCUCUGACCUCCUCCUUUGGUCGUGCGCACAGAGCUGCAUGGUCUGGACUGUUCCCGGGGCUUGUUCUCUACUCCCUCAGGGCGUGUGUUCCUGAGGCCUCUUGUGCACAGGAUCGUCCUUUACGGGGCUCAUGGGGCAAUCACAGCCCGCUGUGCUGUGUCACAGGCUCGCGGGGUUUGUGGGAUGAAUCGUGCACAGAUUCAGACACACAGGUGCCCUCGUGAAAGGAUGUGCGAGAUGUCGGGCCUUCCCGGGGAAGGAGCUGGGAACACAGGACACGUCUGGAGACUACAGAAUUCCUGGGCGAAAGGGAAAAAGUGUACAGAUACACACGCACUACAUGAAUUGUUGAUGGCUAAUUUUUCCUGUAACGAGAAAGUAGCUAAAAAAAUAUUGCAAAGGUAAAGAUGACGUAUUAAUACACGUUGUUUCAAUAUUUUAAGUAUAUCAGAGUGAGGAGGAGUUAUUACAGUUUUACUUUCCUGGCUUUAAAGGAAGACAAAUUUAUCUAUAAUAUAUUUAAAAUACACUUCUUUGCUUAUCUUGCUUUCAAAUGAGAAUAUUACCAUGAUUGGCAUUUUCUCAUAACAGAGCUACAAUCUUAAAUAUUUUUAAAUAUGAGCUCGUUGAAACAUUUUUGCAGGAUUCCAAUGUGGCCAGUAUUGUUAAACAACGAUAAUGAAUCCAGGCCCCGACCAAAUUGUUGAUUUCAGUUCCUUUCUCACGGCGGCCGUGGGCAAGGGGUGCGGCCUUGUACUCGGCGCGUCUUCAUCUGGAUCAGGAGUUUUCGCUGAGAGCUCCCUGGACAGUUUCCACUUGCUGCACACAGUCAUCCCGUCAUGGGAACUGCGUACAGAUCUGUGGUCUCUUUGCACCAGGACACUUCUGCUUUCAGCCUGGGGUAUUUCCCAAUUUCAUUUUACAUUACAUCUAAUUCUAAUAAGAUAAUAUGUGAUUUUCAGGUAUGUAUUAUAAACUAACAUGUUUUAUACAUAUGUGUACACAUAUUUCAGCAUUUGCUAAAUGUCGUUAGUUUUCGUGGGACGGUGGCUGGUUGCAUUUGAUCUUGAUGACCAUUGGGGCACCAGUAGUAACCCUGGUGGGAGCACAGGCCAGGUUGUCAGCAGUGGAGAUGGCGACAAGUGCUCAGAUUUUAGAUGCGUUUUUGCCAGAUUCACAGGUGUGACACCUGUGCUGUCACACAAGGUCCUUCGUGCAGAAAAGCCCUUCCUUGAUUUCCUGCUCCAUUGUUGUCAUCUUGAAAUUCUUUUUACUUCACAGUUUUAUUGACAUAUAGUUGAUGUAAUAUAACAUUGUUUGAGUUUAAGGUGUACAAUGCGAUGAUUUGAUACACAUGUAUAUUGUGAAAUGAUUACCACUGUGAAAUGAUAAGGUUAGUUAACACCUCCAUCACCUCCCAUAAUUACCAUUUAUUUGUGGGGAGAACAUUUCAGAGCUACUCCCUUAGCAACUUUCAAGUAUACAAUGUAGUGUGUUAACUAUAGUCACCAUCCUGUCCAUUAGAUUCACUAGAGCUUACUCAUGUAACUGGAAAUUUGUAGCCUUUGACCAACAUCUCCUCAUUUCCUCUGUAACUAAGCAAAAGGGGCGCCUUCUGCUCACCACAAUCUCAUGCCAGUCAAUUGCACACAGGCCUGUGGUUGAGAAAGGAAAAUUUAUGCAGUUAGCUAGCAUAAUCGGAAGAUGGCGGACUAGUGUCCGAAAGAACCACCUUCCAAUCCUACAGAACCUUGAGGCAGUUUAUGGAGGGGAGAUGGGCAGGGAAAGAGAGGGUUUAGGGAUGUCGACCAUCCGGUGUGACAAACUGCAAGGCGCCGAGUUAUCUCUUUGGUCUGUCAUUCAUGACGGGUAGCAGUGCAGGAUUUUUCUUUCUGGAGGUUGUCAUGUUCCUGGGGAACUCAGAGAACAAAGUUGUCUUGUCACAGCUGGAGGAUGUACAUAAGCAAGAGUCUCAGAAUGAGCAGGUGAUGUAUUUUGCACCAGGGAGAGGUGCUUAAUCACCUAGGCUGCGUGCAGGCGAGAAGGUAUUCCCAGAGACUAGUGCGUCGGGGUCCUGGUUACAGAAUUGCUUCCUUUCCUAAGCUGGCUUCCCUCAUGCUAACUUCAGAUCUAGCUGUUAGACUCCCACCACCAGCCCCUGGCAAAAACCAUUCUGUUCUCUGUUUCUCCGAGUUUGGCUCUUUUAGAUUACACAUAUAAAUGAGAUUUUACAGUAUUGGUCUUUCUCUGUCUGACUUAUUUCACCCAGCAUAAUGCCCUCCAGAUCCUUCCUUGUCACAAAUGGUAGGAUUUCCUUCUUUUUUAUGGCUGUAUAAUAUUUCCUUUUCUGUAUAUACCUCAUGGUCUUUCUC
This 3655-nucleotide long non-coding RNA is filed under the name Equus asinus (donkey). RNAcentral's name for it is "lncRNA (ENSEASG00005035126.1)". The record is from RNAcentral. Lineage: Eukaryota; Metazoa; Chordata; Mammalia; Perissodactyla; Equidae.